GACGAACGCUGGCGGCGUGCUUAACACAUGCAAGUCGAGCGAUGAAGUUCCUUCGGGAACGGAUUAGCGGCGGACGGGUGAGUAACACGUGGGUAACCUGCCUCAUAGAGGGGAAUAGCCUUUCGAAAGGAAGAUUAAUACCCCAUAAGAUUGUAGUACCGCAUGGUAUAGCAAUUAAAGGAGUAAUCCGCUAUGAGAUGGACCCGCGUCGCAUUAGCUAGUUGGUGAGGUAACGGCUCACCAAGGCGAGGAUGCGUAGCCGACCUGAGAGGGUGCUCGGCCACAUUUGGACUGAGACACGGCCCAGACUCCUACGGGAGGCAGCAGUGGGGAAUAUUGCACAAUGGGGGAAGCCCUGAUGCAGCAACGCCGCGUGAGUGAUGACGGUCUUCGGAUUGUAAAACUCUGUCUUCAGGGACGAUAAUGACGGUACCUGAGGAGGAAGCCACGGCUAACUACGUGCCAGCCGCCGCCGUAA
RNAcentral lists this ribosomal RNA (478 nucleotides) under uncultured bacterium. RNAcentral's name for it is "partial 16S ribosomal RNA". It matches the Rfam family "Bacterial small subunit ribosomal RNA", at positions 28 to 523 of the family's 1533-position model. The record is from RNAcentral.